Non-coding RNA from Salvia hispanica, 2224 nucleotides. Lineage: Eukaryota; Viridiplantae; Streptophyta; Magnoliopsida; Lamiales; Lamiaceae. The record is from RefSeq and is a predicted model, not a curated record.
UCGUCAAAAAUUAAAUAAAAUUAACAAAACUUUCCCUGAAUUCAUUCGCAAACCGAUUGAAUCCAAUUUAAUCAAUUAAAUCACACACAUUUGAUGCAACUCUGUCCCUCUAAAAAUAGCAGCAAUUUGCCGGACACCUCCUUCAAUUCACUCCUCCCCACCAUUAACUCUCUCUCUUUCUCUCUCUGAGAUACACUGGAAUGCACAAGAAUCGAUUUUUUUCGAACCCAACUACGCCGGGAUCUGCGUUUCCUGAUGAUUGCAACCCGACAACGGAUUUAUUUGGAUUUGUGUUGAUUGAAUCCGGUGGAAUUGGCACUGAUUAAGAGAAAGGGGAGGUUUUGUUUUUCUGUGAAAAGGGAUUUCAUUUUUGGGAUUUGGUGAAGGUAAAAAGGAAGGGACGAAAAGGGGGAAUUUAUUGGUUUUAGGAAGGGAGAGCAGAGCAAUGUUGUCUAAGAGUGGUGACCAUCAGACUGUCCCUUUAUCGGUGUUGUUGAAACGGGAGCUUGCGAAUGAGAAGAUCGAGAGGCCGGAGAUUACACACGGCCAGGCCAGUCAGAGCAAGAAAGGCGAGGACUUGACCUUCAUUAAGACCGAAUGCCAACGAGUCUUAGGCGAUGGAGUCACCACGUACUCUGUUUUUGCGUUAUUUGAUGGUCAUAAUGGAUCUGCAGCUGCAAUCUAUUCGAAGGAGAAUCUCUUGAAUAAUGUUUUGAAUGCUAUUCCACAAGAUCUUAACAGUGAAGAGUGGGUGGCGGCUUUACCCAGGGCUUUAGUUGCAGGGUUUGUCAAAACGGACAAAGAUUUCCAGGAAAGAGCCCAAACUUCAGGAACAACGGUAACCUUUGUAAUAAUUGAGGGAUGGGUCUUAACUGUUGCUUCAGUUGGUGAUUCUCGUGGUGUGCUUGAAUCAGCUGAAGGGGCGAUAUAUUAUCUCUCGGCAGAUCAUAGACUUGAAUGCAGUGAAGAAGAGAGGGAUCGGAUAACUGCAAGUGGCGGUGAAGUUGGACGCCUCAAUACUGGAGGCGGCACAGAGAUUGGUCCGUUGAGAUGUUGGCCCGGUGGCUUGUGUCUUUCACGAUCCAUUGGCGAUAUGGAUGUUGGGGAGUACAUUGUUCCUGUACCUCAUGUGAAGCAAGUCAAGCUAUCAUCAACUGGUGGAAGGCUUAUUGUCUCGAGCGAUGGUGUUUGGGAUGCAAUAUCCGCAGAAACAGCUUUUGAGUGUUGCAGAGGAAUGCCGCCAGACGCUGCAGCUUCACAGAUUGUCAAAGAAGCCGUACAGGUGAAAGGGCUUCGAGAUGAUACAACAUGUAUCGUUGUAGACAUACUGCCUCCUGAGAAGCACGACCCACCAAAAGUACCCCCUAAGAAGCAAGGGAAAAGAGGCAUCAAGUCUAUGUUUCGGAAGAAGUCCUCGGAGUCGACUUCUCUCCCCGAAAAGGAAGAACACGUUGAAAUAGAUACGGUGGAGGAAAUGUUUGAGGAAGGAUCGGCCUUCCUAUCGGAAAGGUUGGACUCGAAGUACCCGGUGUGCAACAUGUUCAAGCUGUUCGUAUGUGCCGUUUGCCAAGCGGAGAUAAAACCUGGAGAGGGCAUUUCAAUACACUCAGGAACAACCGAUUUGAAAAAUUUACGGCCUUGGGACGGCCCUUUCCUCUGCACAAGCUGCCAAGUGAAGAAAGACGCCAUGGAAGGGAAAAGAGCUUCCAGAGGUUCUAGGUAUAGUAGUGGAAGUGACUAGUUGUUAUCGUUCACCCUCAUAAUACCGAGUGUUCAAACGGACUAUAACAAUGAAGCCCGUUGCAUGACAAGAACAACUCUACUAUCUGUGUUGCUAUAAGCUAGUAAGGGUAAUUGGAACCCCUGUUGUGAAUAGCUAAGAUGACGACCUGUUUUUUACUUUUUUUUCGGGUUUGGAAUUGAAGAUGAAGAAGUUCUACCAGCGCUUGAUGAGCAACGGAUAACUUCUCUUCGACCCUGCCUGAAACGAGGUUAUUGUGGGCCAAGAUACGAGUUCGGGUCCGGAUUUUGACCCGUUAGACAGUCCGACACAAGUUUUUUGUGUGCUUUACGCAUCUUUCUUUCGACAUCUGGCUUUUCUCGUCGCGGUGCAGAAGACGUUGUUGUCAAGAUUGGCAUUAAAUGUAAAGGCAUAGUCACUUGCCACUUUUUGACUUGAUAUUGAAAGUGACAAAUGAAGAAUAAAACAUAUUCUUUUUCAAAA